CUAGUCUGAAAAUCUGAGAUACCAGCAAUAUGGAAUGAAGGAUAUGGAUCAACAAAGAAGCACACAUGAGUUCUUGCACCAACAUAUGACAAGGUUAGAUGAAAUAGAAUUUUAAACACAUUUAAAAGUGGACUAAUUUACCUUAUAGGUUUUCUGGAUUUCUAAUGCCUUUGAAAUAUGCCUCGAAGAGAUAAUUUUAUAUAUAAAAAAUUACAUCAAAAGUUCGAUGGGUUUUAAGUGGGUUCACAACAUUGAAUUGAUUAAUCAAUACAGCACAACCCUAUGGAUGGCCCCAUCUGCACUAUGCAUUUAAAGCAGUAUCGUACUGCUUUGAACAGCCAUGGGAAUUCUGGUAACUGUAGUUUGUUAAGGGUACUGAGAGUUUUUAGGAGACCUCUGUUCCUCUCAUAAGGCUACAAUUCUCAGAGUGGUUUAACAGCCACUCAUUUCCCCAAGAGAGACUGGGAACUGCAGUACUUCUAAGAAGCUGCAGGGGGCAGUAAAAAGAGUAAUUCCCUUCCCUCUUACAAAGAAAGAAAAAUGUGUCUUCAAAGAUGAUGUCCUCAUCUUUAUUUUCUUUUUAAAAAUAAUAAUAAUAAAAAGCAUGCUUUUUGCUACAGAAACUUUUUGGGACAGCUUUUACGCCGUGCUUCAAAACAUGUUUAUAGCAUUCACACAUGACACUUUAGGUUUACACCUUAAAAAGCAUAGUAUAAUUUUUUAAUAUAUAAAUUUUAUAUUUUAUUUGGCAAAAUAUUUGAACUUUAUGAUAUGUAUUGGUAUAAUUUGGAAUAAUUAAUGUGAUAUGAUUGGAUUGUUAAAUGGAAAACUUAAUAAAAAUUAUUAUUAAUAAAAUAAAAUAAAAUAAAAAGCAUAGUAUAAAUUAUGUAAUUUUUUCUGGAUUUUUUUUAAAUUGGCUGAGUUGUUUUUAAAAUUUGCAUUGUUAUUAUUUUAUUUUAUUUUACUUAAAAUACUGCAUUUGCUUUAUUUGUGGUUUUAUUAUUUCAUCGCUGGAAGUCUGUAAUCCACUUUGGAAAACGAAGCUACCUAACGUAUCAUUGAAUAAACAAAGUACUGUUGAACGGAUAUUUUUGAGGACGUUGCUGGACUCCCGUUCCCAUCAGCCCCCAGCCAGCAUAGUAAAUGGUCAGGGAUGGAGGGAGGUGUAUUCUGGGGUGGGAGCUGCAGGUUUUACUUCCCUGCAUCCGAGCCUUCUGGUUCCGGUGACAGAACUCCCAUUCACCCUUAAAUCCUGAGACCCUCAUUAUGUCAGGAGGAAAGAGAGAACCUCUUUUCACCAUAUUCAUUUCCCCCUACCAGUCAUUCCAGCCCCCAGCCCCAAUCAGAGUCAGAAUUUAACGAGGGGGGAAAAUAUGUAAUUGCAUGGUCCCUGGCAGAUUUUGCCAAGGCAGCUACCAGAGACUCUCCUUAUAUGAGAGCGCCAGGGGAGUCCCUAAUCCCCCCUUAGAAACUCAAAAGAACUUGAAAGCAUCUUGUCAUUACGCUGCCUCCUCUAUUCAUCUCGCAUUCUUUGCCCCGGUAACAUCUGGCUCCAGGUUCUCAGGCGUGAGGAGAAGAGGGAGUUCAGUGUCAGUUCAGCGACGGUGAAGCCACGCUCCUCGAAAGGCAAGAGAAAACACGCCAUCACCAUCAAUCAGCAUUAACUGGCAUACUAACCAGAGGGGCAAGACACCCUCCCCGCUGCCCAUAAAAGGCUGAUGGAAUGUGGGAAGAUAUUACAAAGCACCUCCCAUGUCGUAAUGGCUGGAACUGCUGAACCUAGUGAUGGGAUCUCCAGGUGUAACUGUGCCCUCAUCAGGGAGUGAUUUAAAUCACCAUGGAAUGAGGCUGAUUUAAGGCCCGGCCAGACAUGAUGGAAACAGAUCCCUGUGUUCACAGCAUCCAGGAAGUGGGUGGGGACUAUUUUAGAAUAGUACACAAGGAGGACUGCAAAAUCUUCUCGGCUCACCUCUCCACAGUCUGUCCUCCUGACAAGAUACUCCUCAAUGAAGAUCCAAGUACAGUCAUACCCCAGGUUACAGACGCUUCAGGUUGUGCAUUUUUGGGUUAAGGACGCGCCGAAACCCGGAAGUACCAGAACGGGUUCCUUCCAGGUUUCGGCAUUCGCACAUGCGCAGAAGCGCUAAAUCACGCUUUGCGCAUGUGCAGAAGUGCAGACUCAUGAUCUGCGCAUGCGCAGACGCGGUGCUGGGGGUUGCGAACACUGUGGGUUGUGAACGUGCCUCCGGCAUGGAUCACGUUCACAACCCAAGCGUCCACUGUAUUGGGAUUUCUAGACAGCUAGAAGGAAAGCAAUUGGUAAAAAGCGGUGCGGGGGGGGGCACGGAGUGUUCCGCCCUUCUCACUCCCCAGCUCAUUUUUUUUAUUUUUAUUAAUAUAUAAUUAUUUAUACCCCAUCUUCUUCACUGACAGGGACUCAAGGUGGCUUACAGAGAAAAUAAGAACAGCUAAAAACAUGGGCCCCCCCAAUUAUAAAAAAUAAAUAAAUGUAUCAACAACAGUGAUCAAAUUAAAAUCACAGGAGAAAUCAGGCAGAGGAUAAAGGGGGCUGCAAAAAAGAAAACAUCCAGGAUAAAUUGUUUCUAUAAUAACUUUCCAGGAAGUACUUAUAGGUCAAAUUAGGCCCACGAAUGUUAAAUAUCACCCAGCUUUUAAAAAAUAUUAUCAUCAUUGCCAUCACAUAAUCUAUGUGGCCACCAGUUGCCACGCCACUUCUUAAUGGAAGCCUGCUAUCAUCUUGCUUACUACAAUUAAUGCCAGAUUGGCAUGGAUGAAGCUUUUUUCCUCUAGAAAACACCAAGAAUAGGGGGAAAAUGAAAUUCAGGGAGUCCCACCAGUCCUUUCUGAGAAACUUCGUAGAAUCUCCCCUAACCUGGAAGUUUACAUUGAUUGGUACUUAUGUCAUUCCCCCAUAUCAAGGGCCCCAUUACCUCCAGCAGCUUAGGGCCUCAUCAAACCUAAAUCCAGCCCUGGUCAGGCCCCUUGCGUAUGAGCGACUCCUCUCUCAGACACAGUUUGAAAUGCUUUGGCACUGCCACGCAUGCCUGCUUGCUUGCCUCCAGAUGGCUACCUUUGACUCUGAGGCCAUUCAACAGCGGCUACUUCAGAACCCACAUUAGGAGAACCUUGGUGGUUCAGUGUUAACCCAAACUAGUGGAAUUUACUUGAAAUACAAUAUGUUCUCUCUCGUCUUCCUCCUCCUCAUUUAUUACAAGGGAGAUGUUUGGCAGAGUCGAGAUCUGGAAAUUUGCCAUUAAGCUGCAAUGGGCUUAGCAAGUUAAUGUUGAUGGGUUUUGAGCAUUAACUCACCAAAGGAGAAUGCCGGCACAUUUGUAGAAUUAUCAGUAUAAUGGAUCCUGGCAUUUCACUCUUACCAUCUUUACAAAUGUCACUUUUCAUUCUAUUGUAAAUUAAACCAAUUUCGUCCAAACCUCCAAAAUAAAGCUUCCUUGCAAGCAACCAGUUCCCAUCUGCUCCACAGUUAAAAAUAUUGCAGCAAGAAAUUGCAGAAGAUAUUAGAGAAAAUGCACCAUUACAGAUACUAUAUGAAGGGUGUAUGAAUUAACCAUUAAGGAUUAAUUUAUACUCUCUUUCUUCAUGGGUAGGGGUUAAAGAGUGCAAGAAAUGAAGGACACCAUGAUCAAAUUAAAGCAAGGUAGAUCUCCACACCUGAAUGAGCUAAUGAAAUAUUAUAAAGGCAAAGAACUGGGAAGGUGAAAACCCCAUUAGACCCAAGAGAUCUCUGACAGUUUACAUCACCUGAAAGUCUCCCUCCGAUAUAUUCCCAAUUAUUACAGGUAGAUUUUAUCCACUUAACAGGUUAAGUUUGCAAACCCCCUCCAUCAUUUAUUCACUCAGGAAUGUAACCUUGUCUCUGCAGCAGCAGCGAGGAAAAAAAUGUGUAUGUUCGGUCUCAUUUACGCUUUUAACCAAUUUAUGCCAGCAUCAUGUAUUUAAAUUAGCUUCAGUGUGCUUUCAUAUAUUAUAACCAUAUUUCAAAGCAAUUUGUGCAAAUGCCAACAGAGGAGGCAAGCUAUAUGUAUCAUGUGUUUGGAGAUUAUAAAGGCUCCAGAUGCCUUUGUAAAGCAAACCUUUCAUGAAUAAAUCAGGAAACAUCCUGAUGCAGGCUUUAUAUAUAGAGCAAGGUAUUCUUAUUUAGGUCACAGCGAGGUUCUGCCAGGUUUGCUAAAAUGGAACAAAUCCCCAGCGUGUAUGCCAAAUGCACAACAUUUCAUAAGACAAGCAAACAUCCCUUGGUUUGAGCCCUUAUUGUGUGCUUGCAACUGUAAAUGACCUCUGUACCUUAAGUAUAUUGGUUUGAUCACCUGAAACUCAAAUCAAAGCUUUCCGACUCUGUACUCAGUAAGUCUCUCCCCCCCAUCUCAUUCGACCCCAUCCACGGUGACAAUGGAUGGUGACAAUGCCCUCAUUUAAUACCCACAUAUACUGCAGCAUAGUAGCAAAACGUGGUAGCUCAGAGACUGAGCUUCCAGUCACGAAUUACCUGGUUCAAAACUUGCCUAGGCUAUGUACUCGUAUAUAAGGAUAAUAAUGCCAUCUGAAAGGGUCCUUGCAGGGAUUACAGCGGGUCAGUUCAGAUGCUACUCUGUUUUUUUUGUCAAUUAUAUUUUAUUAAGUUUCAACAUUUUAACAUAUGCAAUCAAAACACAAUUUCAUCUUUUCUCUUAUUUUUGUCUACUUCCCACCUCUUUUCCUAUGGAGUUGUUUCUCUCCUCCUGCUGCUCCCUGCCUUCUAUCUAUCAAAUCAUAACCACAAUAUUAAAAUCUAACUAUUUCUGUUGUUCAUAACUGAAAGCCUGCUUGCGAGUUCAUCGCACUAUAAUAUUUCUUUAAAUAGUCUGAAAAAGGCAUCCAUUCUUCCAUAAAACACUCAUCAUUAGCUUCUCUUAAUUUUGCCAGCUAUUUCUACUGUUAUAUAUAUAUAUAUAUAUAUAUACUCAUUUUAACCAUCUUUUUAUCUCAACAUGUAUCAUUUCCCAAAAUGCCCUCGCUUUCUUGCAAGCCCACCACAUAUGAGAAAAAGAUCCACCUACCUGUUUACUAAGCCAGAUGUUACUCUAAAUGUGCAGCUACCAACAAAAAUGGCAACUGCAUAUUCUGUUCCCUUCCAUAACAUCUGGAAGAACUUACCCAUGCUCUGACCUCAAGAUGUCCUGCAUGUUGUUAUCCCUGCUUGUUGUUAUCCCUGCUAAGUAUCAAGAUGCAGAUAAGUUCUACUAGAUGUUACAUGCAGCAGCCAUGCAUUUAGCAAAGGAUCUGGCUUGGUUUUGAGACAACGUUCACGAAGCCAUUUAGAACAUCCAGUUACGUGCUGUGCAAAUGCUGCUAAUAAUACUUUCAACAACAACAAUAAUCAUUAGCAAAAAUAACAGCAACACUGGCAAACCUCAAAGAGUUGUUGUAAAGAUUAUUUAGACCAGCAUUUCCCAAACACGGGUCCCCAUAUGUUGUUGUUGGACUACAACUCCCAUCAUCCCUGACCACUGGUCCUGCUAGCAAGGGAUGAUGGGAGUUGCAUUCCAGCAACAGUUGGAGACCCAAGUUUGGGAAACACUGAUUUAGACAGAGCAUGUGAAAUAACUUAGUACAGUAUCAUCUGUUCUGCCUAAUGGAUUCCUGGGACCCAGGAAAACUAGACCUUGAUUUCAUGCAAAGUGCUGAAAAAUAAAACUAGAACAGAGAAGAUUACUCGUGGAAUUUCCUAUCCAGCCAUCACACUCCUUCCCCCUAGGUUGAUGGCUUGUAUAGAGAUCAUUUAAUCAGUUUAUACAUGAUGGGGUGAGGGUAAAGUAACCUACUGCUCAUGACACAUUUGCUAAUCUUAUGUCUCUUCCUGAACUGGAAACAUCUAUUAUACAGGCUCUCAAAGAAUUAGGAUGUAAGGAUUUCCAGAUUGUUGCAGCCAGCUUGAAAUGAUAAAAAGUUAUCCAAAGUGGAGGAAUGUAGAAUGUUUCUUUUUUCUUUUUUUUUAAAGGCCUGGGAGCAAUCUCUCCUCCUUUUUGAGUUGCAAUUUAUAUGUGUGUGUGUGUGUUUUGUUUUAAUACAACUCUGCGCAACAUUGACAAAAGAGUUCGUGGCAAGUUCAUUCCAUCUAAUGAAUCGAUAAAAUCUAAAUGUAAAUGGCACGCGAUACAAGGCUCAUCUGACAAUUCUUUGGAAAAAUGCAUUUUAAUCCACACCAAUCUCUGCUACAACCAUUUGUAACUGAAUGUUCGUACUGAUCAUAGGAUGGUCCUGCUAUGCUUUUUAAUUUCCUCUGUUAUUUUGUGUGUCCACAAAUCUAGCCAAGGGUAUCCCACUCAGGUUGGGAGUCCACAAUGCACUGGUGAAGUGGGAAUUCCUGCAGGAUAAGAAUUCUGCUAAGCCUCAGGAAGACCUGCUGGAGUCUAUGUUGUGGUUCUCUUCACAUCAUCAAUAACCAUCCCACCCAUCUCCUUGAAGGCUGACACUGAGCUGGGGAGAAAACUGCUACGUGGACUGCCAUGUCCACUGCAGAAGCACGAGGAGCACCUAGCUUCGGAGUUGCAUCUAAAAGCUUUGCUCGCUUAUUCUGAAAAUAAUUUGACAAGAACAAAGGACUGCUCUUCAGACAUCGCCUUUGGAAACAGGUUAUAAAACUUCCUGGCAGGGAAGAUCGCUGCUUCAAGAUGAUGCUGACACUGAUCCAGACUAUUGAGACCAGG
Podarcis lilfordi (Lilford's wall lizard) is the source of this 6725-nucleotide non-coding RNA. The record is from the annotation of a GenBank genome assembly. Lineage: Eukaryota; Metazoa; Chordata; Lepidosauria; Squamata; Lacertidae.